RNAcentral lists this ribosomal RNA (411 nucleotides) under uncultured bacterium. Its description in RNAcentral is "bacterial SSU rRNA". It matches the Rfam family "Bacterial small subunit ribosomal RNA", at positions 356 to 759 of the family's 1533-position model. The record is from RNAcentral.
AGGGAAUAUUGGACAAUGGGGGCAACCCUGAUCCAGCCAUGCCGCGUGAGUGAAGAAGGCCCUCGGGUUGUAAAGCUCUUUUGUCCGGAAAGAAAAGCUUCGGGUUAAUACCCCGGGGUUCUGACGGUACCGGAAGAAUAAGCACCGGCUAACUUCGUGCCAGCAGCCGCGGUAAGACGAAGGAUGCAAGCGUUAUCCGGAUUCAUUGGGUUUAAAGGGUGCGUAGGCGGGCUUGUAAGUCAGUGGUGAAAUCUCUCAGCUUAACUGAGAAACUGCCAUUGCUACUGCAGGCCUAGAGUAUAGAAGACGUUGGCGGAAUAUGACAUGUAGUGGUGAACUUCUUAGAAAUGUCAUAGAACACCGAUUGCGAAGGUAGCUAACGAACCUAUAACUGACGCUGAGGCACGAAAG